AGAAAUUUAUCCUUAAGCUCCUCAAUAACCAUUUUCCUGCUAACUAAAUUCAUGGUUAAGGUUGCAUAAUGAUAUGCAACAAAUGUAUAACAUUUCCUUUACCAAAAAAAAUAAACAAAAGCGACCGACAAAAGCAUCGGAUUACGGCAGG
Molecule: ribosomal RNA, 151 nt
Filed under: Escherichia coli 7-233-03_S4_C3
Lineage: Bacteria; Pseudomonadati; Pseudomonadota; Gammaproteobacteria; Enterobacterales; Enterobacteriaceae
Description: partial 16S ribosomal RNA
Source: RNAcentral